UCUCCGUUGGUGAACCAGCGGAGGGAUCAUUACAGGACUCGCAAGACUCCCGUAAACCACUGUGAACCUACCUAUUGUUGCCUCGGCGGGCGCUCGAGCUCAGCGCUCAGCCCGCCGCUGGCCCCUUACUCUGACUCAUUGCGUUGGCAUCUCAGAGCAAACACAAACCAAUCAAAACUUUCAACAACGGAUCUCUUGGCUCUGGCAUCGAUGAAGAACGCAGC
Molecule: unclassified non-coding RNA, 224 nt
Filed under: uncultured fungus
Lineage: Eukaryota; Fungi
Description: sequence contains ITS1, 5.8S rRNA gene
Rfam family: 5.8S ribosomal RNA (bases 176-224)
Source: RNAcentral